UACAGAGGGGGCAAGCGUUAUUCGGAAUUAUUGGGCGUAAAGGGCGCGUAGGCGGCUUGGCAAGUGGAUGGUGAAAUCCCAGGGCUCAACCCUGGAACUGCCUUUGAUACUGACGAUCUGGAGAUCGGGAGAGGUUGGUGGAAUUCCGAGUGUAGAGGUGAAAUUCGUAGACAUUCGGAGGAACACCAGAAGCGAAGGCGGCCAACUGGCCCGAUACUGACGCUGAGGCGCGAAAGCGUGGGGAGCAAACAGG
This 253-nucleotide ribosomal RNA is filed under the name uncultured bacterium. Its description in RNAcentral is "partial 16S ribosomal RNA". It matches the Rfam family "Bacterial small subunit ribosomal RNA", at positions 524 to 776 of the family's 1533-position model. The record is from RNAcentral.